Molecule: ribosomal RNA, 497 nt
Filed under: uncultured bacterium
Lineage: Bacteria
Description: partial 16S ribosomal RNA
Rfam family: Bacterial small subunit ribosomal RNA
Source: RNAcentral
GAUGAACGCUGGCGGCGUGCCUAAUACAUGCAAGUCGAGCGAACAGACGAGGAGCUUGCUCCUCUGACGUUAGCGGCGGACGGGUGAGUAACACGUGGAUAACCUACCUAUAAGACUGGGAUAACUUCGGGAAACCGGAGCUAAUACCGGAUAACAUGUUGAACCGCAUGGUUCAACAGUGAAAGACGGUCUUGCUGUCACUUAUAGAUGGAUCCGCGCCGCAUUAGCUAGUUGGUAAGGUAACGGCUUACCAAGGCAACGAUGCGUAGCCGACCUGAGAGGAUGAUCGGCCACACUGGAACUGAGACACGGUCCAGACUCCUACGGGAGGCAGCAGUAGGGAAUCUUGCGCAAUGGGCGAAAGCCUGACGGAGCAACGCCGCGUGAGUGAUGAAGGUCUUCGGAUCGUAAAACUCUGUUAUUAGGGAAGAACAAAUGUGUAAGUAACUAUGCACGUCUUGACGGUACCUAAUCAGAAAGCCACGGCUAACUACGUG